ACUCCUACGGGAGGCAGCAGUGGGGAAUAUUGCACAAUGGGGGAAACCCUGAUGCAGCCAUGCCGCGUGUGUGAAGAAGGCCUUAGGGUCGUAAAGCUCUUUCGCCUGUGAUGAUAAUGACAGUAGCAGGUAAAGAAACCCCGGCUAACUCCGUGCCAGCAGCCGCGGUAAUACGGAGGGGGUUAGCGUUGUUCGGAAUUACUGGGCGUAAAGCGCGCGGUAGGCGGAUUAGUCAGUUAGAGGUGAAAUCCCAGGGCUCAACCCUGGAACUGCCUUUAAUACUGCUAGUCUUGAGUUCGAGAGAGGUGAGUGGAAUUCCGAGUGUAGAGGUGAAAUUCGUAGAUAUUCGGAGGAACACCAGUGGCGAAAGGCGGCUCACUGGCUCGAUACUGACGCUGAGGUGCGAAAGUGUGGGGAGCAAACAGGAUUAGAUACCCUGGUAGGAUAG
Molecule: ribosomal RNA, 448 nt
Filed under: uncultured bacterium
Lineage: Bacteria
Description: bacterial SSU rRNA
Rfam family: Bacterial small subunit ribosomal RNA
Source: RNAcentral